RNAcentral lists this long non-coding RNA (1528 nucleotides) under Parus major (Great Tit). RNAcentral's name for it is "lncRNA (ENSPMJG00000019178.1)". Lineage: Eukaryota; Metazoa; Chordata; Aves; Passeriformes; Paridae. The record is from RNAcentral.
ACACUGACACAUGAAUGACAUUUACAUUGUUCAGAAUAAAAUCAAGGAUACUUUCAAAUAAUGAGCCACAGAAAAAUUGCUGGAGCAAAAUUGUCUUCAGAAUGAAACACAGGCUCAUUUGAAAUGAGAGUUUUUUCAUUAAAAAAAUGGUGCAGCUAAUAAUAAAGUCUUUUAACCUGUAUUUUGUUAUAGGUGACAGGUGAACAAAUCACAGGUCUUGAGUUUCUCUACCCUGCCUCUCUUGGUAACGUCAUCUCCAGUACCAUCUGCUACCUACCAGACAAACAGACCAACCACAUAAUGAGGUACCAGCUUCCACCCAGCUACCGUGACUAAAUCAGAACAAAAGAUUCAACGCCUCCUUCAACAAAGGAACACAAGUCUAAGCUGUCUUUGCUAAUUGCUGGGUUUCAGGUUGUCUGUUACAGAUUUUAAGUGAGCUACAAACUUCCAUCAAAUACUUAUAGCUGUUGGAUAAAGAUACUAAGAAUAAAAAGAUAAAUGGAAGCAAAAGGCAAUGAUGUUGUUCUCCUAAAAUGUGAGCCAGUUUGCUUCCUGUCAGCAAGUGGAGCUCAGCUCAGCUCUUCCUCUCCCCGAGUUGCUGCAGACAGACCAGCAGCUCCGUGGACUGACUUGAAAUGGUUCGGGCAAAUUAUUACUCCAUUCAUGGAUCACCUUCUGCACUUCUUAUAUACUGAGUUAGACACUUUGGUCAUUUUAAAGUGAAGGAGAAUAAUGAAAUUAUCUUCACAAGGAACACUCUUCCAUUUAAAAAUAGGACAUUUCUUGUCACCAAUGCUGUCCCCAAAUUGUAAAUUAACGUAUUUUAAAAUAUUUUUUUCAGUAUUCCAGGGUAGGAAAUAUGUUAUAUCUGUUUCUUUUUGCAAAUGAUUGCUAUCCUUAUCUAGUUCGUACAGAAAUGGUGUCUGAGUCAUGGGAAAUUUAAGUGGUUUGUCUCAAGAAAAUUUGGUGGUAUGCAUGUUCAUGAUGCACAUAGAGCUGCUGAAUGAAUAAUUGGCCUCUAUUUAAUGUCCUCUGCUUUAAAGCUGUCUAGUACAUUUGCUGUUUAAAAAAAUGUCUUUCAAAGCUGUUAAAUAUGUAACAAAAAGAGGUUGCUCUCCCCAUUCUGACAUGAACAAAGCCAUACAGUGAGCUGCCCGAGGUACUUCCAGCAUGGGAUUAAUUACAAACACAAUCAUAAAUGGAAAUUUUCAAAGUUUUCCAAUUCUUUUUCUUUGCAAUACCAGCUGAUGAGUAUUUGAUAAAAGAAUGCAGUAAAAAUAUUAGUCCAGGAAUUAGCUAUUAAAUAUUAAGCUAAGCAUUUUUCAGAGUAUGGGAUCUGUUGGAUCCCAUAAUUCCACCAUUUACCCCUGAUGGAGUGAGAUCUCUGGCUGUCUUCAGAAGCAAACCGAGCUUAAAACAGGAACGCACUCUCAAGAAGAUGAUCGACUAAGAAUGUGUUUUAUUUUGAUUUGAAAAACUGUCAAUCACAAAUAAAAAAGACCAAAUACUGUUAUUAUAUAUACUA